GCACUCACUUUGACAGCACAUACACUAAAGUUGGGCCAAUGUGGAGAUUAGCAUGCCCCUGUGCUAUGGUGUCACCCAAAUUCGUGACACACUCCAUAUUCUU
Molecule: small nuclear RNA, 103 nt
Filed under: Castor canadensis (American beaver)
Lineage: Eukaryota; Metazoa; Chordata; Mammalia; Rodentia; Castoridae
Source: RNAcentral